This 338-nucleotide ribosomal RNA is filed under the name uncultured Enterobacteriaceae bacterium. Its description in RNAcentral is "bacterial SSU rRNA". It matches the Rfam family "Bacterial small subunit ribosomal RNA", at positions 1178 to 1515 of the family's 1533-position model. The record is from RNAcentral. Lineage: Bacteria; Pseudomonadati; Pseudomonadota; Gammaproteobacteria; Enterobacterales; Enterobacteriaceae.
GACGACGUCAAGUCAUCAUUGCCCUUACGACCAGGGCUACACACGUGCUACAAUGGCGUAUACAAAGGGAUGCGAAGGUGCGAACUGGAGCGGACCUCACAAAGUACGUCUAAGUCCGGAUUGGAGUCUGCAACUCGACUCCAUGAAGUCGGAAUCGCUAGUAAUCGUGAAUCAGAAUGUCACGGUGAAUACGUUCCCGGGCCUUGUACACACCGCCCGUCACACCAUGGGAGUGGGUUGCACCAGAAGUAGAUAGCUUAACCUUCGGGAGGGCGUUUACCACGGUGUGGUUCAUGACUGGGGUGAAGUCGUAACAAGGUAACCAAGGGCGAAUUCUG